AUUGAACGCUGGCGGCAUGCCUUACACAUGCAAGUCGAACGGUAACGGGCCUUCGGGUGCCGACGAGUGGCGAACGGGUGAGUAAUACAUCGGAACGUGCCCGAUCGUGGGGGAUAACGAGGCGAAAGCUUUGCUAAUACCGCAUACGAUCUACGGAUGAAAGCAGGGGACCGCAAGGCCUUGCGCGGACGGAGCGGCCGAUGGCAGAUUAGGUAGUUGGUGGGAUAAAAGCUUACCAAGCCGACGAUCUGUAGCUGGUCUGAGAGGAUGAUCAGCCACACGGGGAGUGAGACACGGCCCAGACUCCUGGGAGGCAGCAGUGGGGAAUUUUGGACAAUGGGCGCAAGCCUGAUCCAGCCAUGCCGCGUGCAGGAUGAAGGCCUUCGGGUUGUAAACUGCUUUUGUACGGAACGAAAAGCCUUCUUUUAAUACAGGAGGGUCAUGACGGUACCGUAAGAAUAAGCACCGGCUAACUACGUG
RNAcentral lists this ribosomal RNA (480 nucleotides) under uncultured bacterium. RNAcentral's name for it is "partial 16S ribosomal RNA". It matches the Rfam family "Bacterial small subunit ribosomal RNA", at positions 30 to 507 of the family's 1533-position model. The record is from RNAcentral.